ACCUUAUCAAGAGCGGCGGAGGGAAAGGCCCUGUGAAGCCCGGCAACCUGCACAUGAGCAAGGUGCCAAAUCCUGCGGACAAAAACGUGCAGAUGAGGA
This 99-nucleotide non-coding RNA is filed under the name Clostridiales bacterium. RNAcentral describes it as "SAM". It matches the Rfam family "SAM riboswitch aptamer (S box leader)". From Rfam's summary of the family: The SAM riboswitch is found upstream of a number of genes which code for proteins involved in methionine or cysteine biosynthesis in Gram-positive bacteria. The SAM riboswitch acts at the level of transcription termination control. RNAcentral also lists the same sequence under 1 other name. The record is from RNAcentral. Lineage: Bacteria; Bacillati; Bacillota; Clostridia; Eubacteriales.